RNAcentral lists this ribosomal RNA (253 nucleotides) under uncultured bacterium. RNAcentral's name for it is "partial 16S ribosomal RNA". It matches the Rfam family "Bacterial small subunit ribosomal RNA", at positions 524 to 776 of the family's 1533-position model. The record is from RNAcentral.
UACGGAGGGUGCGAGCGUUAUCCGGAUUUACUGGGUUUAAAGGGUGUGUAGGCGGGCUAUUAAGUCAGCGGUGAAAUCUUCGGGCUCAACCCGGAAACUGCCAUUGAUACUAUUAGUCUUGAAUAUUGUGGAGGUAUGCGGAAUGUGUCAUGUAGCGGUGAAAUGCUUAGAGAUGACACAGAACACCGAUUGCGAAGGCAGCGUACUACACAAUCAUUGACGCUGAGGCACGAAAGCGUGGGGAUCAAACAGG